This 541-nucleotide ribosomal RNA is filed under the name uncultured bacterium. Its description in RNAcentral is "bacterial SSU rRNA". It matches the Rfam family "Bacterial small subunit ribosomal RNA", at positions 355 to 896 of the family's 1533-position model. The record is from RNAcentral.
UGAGGAAUAUUGGACAAUGGACGAAAGUCUGAUCCAGCCAUGCCGCGUGCAGGAUGACGGCCCUAUGGGUUGUAAACUGCUUUUAUACAGGAAGAAACACUCCCACGUGUGGGGGCUUGACGGUACUGUACGAAUAAGGAUCGGCUAACUCCGUGCCAGCAGCCGCGGUAAUACGGAGGAUCCAAGCGUUAUCCGGAAUUAUUGGGUUUAAAGGGUCCGCAGGCGGUCUAUUAAGUCAGAGGUGAAAUCUUGCAGCUCAACUGUAAAAUUGCCUUUGAUACUGGUAGACUUGAGUCAUUGUGAAGUGGUUAGAAUGUGUGGUGUAGCGGUGAAAUGCAUAGAUAUCACACAGAAUACCAAUUGCGAAGGCAGAUCACUAACAAUGUACUGACGCUCAUGGACGAAAGCGUGGGGAGCGAACAGGAUUAGAUACCCUGGUAGUCCACGCCGUAAACGAUGGAUACUAACUGUUCGACCUUCGGGUUGAGUGGUUAAGCGAAAGUGAUAAGUAUCCCACCUGGGGAGUACGCUCGCAAGAGUG